AGUUUCUUCAACUACACACACCUGGUCUUCAUCACGCCACAGUAUUUAAGGAGCAGCGAGGUCAUCCAGUCUCGUCAUCGCACUUCUGUGGAUUGCUUGGCAAGCUGACAGAAGGACUUCACAUUUUCGCUCUGAGCGACUGGUCGAUAUGGAUCGUUUUCCAUCUUGGAGCCCACCAUCUACCUGCCUGCCUGCCUCCUCGCCCUCCGACGUUUGGGAACCACAGGACGCACCCCACACUCUGGUAUUCCCCGCCCUGCAACCUUUUCCCCUGGACCCCACACGAACUCUGCCUCCCUGGCCUUCUUCCCCGCGUGGUCCCAAACAUCCCUCUCAGCACCAGUUUCCUCUACAUGCUCACUGCCUUAAUAAAAC
Long non-coding RNA from Archocentrus centrarchus (flier cichlid), 375 nucleotides. RefSeq lists it as uncharacterized. The transcript has 3 exons. Lineage: Eukaryota; Metazoa; Chordata; Actinopteri; Cichliformes; Cichlidae. The record is from RefSeq and is a predicted model, not a curated record.